AUGGCGUUCUCCAAGCCCGCUGCACUCCUGCUGCUCGUUGCUCUGUCCGCGACCGCCAUGCUCGCCGCCGGCCAAGGCUGCGGCGGCCACAAGGUGACGGUGCAGAACCUAUGCGGGCAGGACCUGAAGCUGAGCCUGGAGGAAGUCGCGCACAGCGCGGCCCUCUUCCCCGACGGGUGGGUGCUCCCAGACGGGCAGCACGGGUCGUUCGACGUGUGCGCGUGGACGGGGGGCGUGCUCGCGCCCGGCGCGGCCGUGGCCAAGGUCCACCUGGGCCACGACGGCGGCGCGUACUACGAGGUGAGCACCCAGCAGCCGGGCCCCAUCCUUGUCUCCGUCACCCCGCACGGCAGCCCGCUGCGGGGGCACUGCCCCACGGCCGGGUGCAACGGCGGCGGCCACUGCUUCGAGCACUCCGUCCCCGACGGCGACUGCCACGGCGUCACCGAGGUGAAGAUCGUCUACUACAAGCCGUAG
RNAcentral lists this ribosomal RNA (477 nucleotides) under Triticum aestivum (bread wheat). RNAcentral describes it as "partial small subunit ribosomal RNA". The record is from RNAcentral. Lineage: Eukaryota; Viridiplantae; Streptophyta; Magnoliopsida; Poales; Poaceae.